RNAcentral lists this ribosomal RNA (378 nucleotides) under uncultured eukaryote. RNAcentral describes it as "SSU rRNA". It matches the Rfam family "Eukaryotic small subunit ribosomal RNA", at positions 587 to 972 of the family's 1831-position model. The record is from RNAcentral.
AGCUCCAAUAGCGUAUAUUAAAGUUGUUGCAGUUAAAAAGCUCGUAGUUGAAUUUCGGAGGAGAGAUCUCGGUCUAGGUUCGCCUUGUACUGAGACGCUCGAAUCUUUUUUCUGGGGAAGCGCGGUGUCCUUCACUGGGCGUCUCGGGGAACCAGGACGAUUACCUUGAGAAAAAUAGAGUGUUCAAAGCAGGCUUUUGCUUGGAUACGUUAGCAUGGAAUAAUAAAAUAGGACUUUGGUUCUAUUUUGUUGGUUUUAAGGACCAAUGUCAUGAUGAAUAGGGACAGUUGGGGGCAUUCGUAUUCCGAAGCUAGAGGUGAAAUUCUUGGAUUUUCGGAAGACGAACUACUGCGAAAGCAUUUGCCAAGGAUGUUUUCA